CCUAUAAUGCAGUCGAGCGAUGGAUUGAGAGCUUGCUCUCAAGAAGUUAGCGGCGGACGGGUGAGUAACACGUGGGUAACCUGCCCAUAAGACUGGGAUAACUCCGGGAAACCGGGGCUAAUACCGGAUAAUAUUUUGAACUGCAUGGUUCGAAAUUGAAAGGCGGCUUCGGCUGUCACUUAUGGAUGGACCCGCGUCGCAUUAGCUAGUUGGUGAGGUAACGGCUCACCAAGGCAACGAUGCGUAGCCGACCUGAGAGGGUGAUCGGCCACACUGGGACUGAGACACGGCCCAGACUCCUACGGGAGGCAGCAGUAGGGAAUCUUCCGCAAUGGACGAAAGUCUGACGGAGCAACGCCGCGUGAGUGAUGAAGGCUUUCGGGUCGUAAAACUCUGUUGUUAGGGAAGAACAAGUGCUAGUUGAAUAAGCUGGCACCUUGACGGUACCUAACCAGAAAGCCACGGCUAACUACGUGCCAGCAGCCGCGGUAAUACGUAGGUGGCAAGCGUUAUCCGGAAUUAUUGGGCGUAAAGCGCGCGCAGGUGGUUUCUUAAGUCUGAUGUGAAAGCCCACGGCUCAACCGUGGAGGGUCAUUGGAAACUGGGAGACUUGAGUGCAGAAGAGGAAAGUGGAAUUCCAUGUGUAGCGGUGAA
This 654-nucleotide ribosomal RNA is filed under the name Firmicutes bacterium AT-MI-39. Its description in RNAcentral is "bacterial SSU rRNA". It matches the Rfam family "Bacterial small subunit ribosomal RNA", at positions 48 to 685 of the family's 1533-position model. Lineage: Bacteria; Bacillati; Bacillota. The record is from RNAcentral.